GUCAAAUGAAGUAAGGCUUACGGUGGAUACCUAGGCACUCAGAGACGAAGAAGGGCGUGGAAACCAACGAAAUGCUUCGGGGAGCUGGAAACAAGCUAUAAUCCGGAGAUUCCCGAAUAGGGCAACCUCUUGUACUACUUAUUGAAUUCAUAGAUAGGAAAGAGACAACCCGGUGAAUUGAAACAUCUUAGUAGCCGGAGGAAAAGAAAGCAAACGCGAUUCCCUUAGUAGCGGCGAGCGAAAUGGGAACAGCCUAAACCAGGUUAAAAACUGGGGUUGUGGGAAAACAUAAAAUAGAAAGCCGCUCCCUCUUUUGGAGGGCAGCAGCCAAUUAAUCUCUAGAUGAAGCAGCUGAAUCCUGCACCAUAGAUGGUGAAAGUCCAGUAGUUAAAAGAAGAUUUUUCUAAGUUUAUCCCGAGUAGCAUGGGACACGUGAAAUCCCGUGUGAAUCCACGAGGACCACCUCGUAAGGCUAAAUACUCCUGAGUGACCGAUAGCGAAAUAGUACCGCGAGGGAAAGGUGAAAAAGAACCCCUGUAGGGGAGUGAAAAAGAACAUGAAACCGUAAGCUGUCAAACAGUGGGAGGGUGUGCUUUGCAACACCUGACCGCGUUCCUGUUGAAGAAUGAGCCGGCGACUUAUAGAAAGUGGCUUGGUUAAGGAAUUUCAUCCGGAGCCAAAGCGAAAGCGAGUCUGAAUAGGGCACUUUUGUCACUUUUUAUGGACCCGAACCCGGGUGAUCUAACCAUGACCAGGAUGAAGCUUGGGUAAAACCAAGUGGAGGUCCGAACCGACCGAUGUUGAAAAAUCGGCGGAUGAGUUGUGGUUAGGGGUGAAAUGCCAAUCGAACUCGGAGCUAGCUGGUUCUCCCCGAAAUGCGUUGAGGCGCAGCGGUUGACGAAUGGGCUAUCUAGGGGUAAAGCACUGUUUCGGUGCGGGCUGCGAGAGCGGUACCAAAUCGUAGCAAACUAAGAAUACUAGGUAUUGCUUUCCGUCAACCAGUGAGACGAUGGGGGAUAAGCUUCAUCGUCAAGAGGGAAACAGCCCAGAUCACCAGCUAAGGCCCCUAAAUGGCCGCUAAGUGAUAAAGGAGGUGAGAAUGCUGAAACAACCAGGAGGUUUGCUUAGAAGCAGCCACCCUUAAAAGAGUGCGUAAUAGCUCACUGGUGGAGCGUUCUUGCGCCGAAAAUGAACGGGACUAAGCGGCCUGCCGAAGCUGUGAGAUUUUGAAUCAAAGUACUAUCACCUACGGUGAUUGCGAAUCACCAAAUUGGUAAAGCUCUGAAAUGGUGAUAAAAGUAAAACUUUAGUAAAAUACCAAUACAAAGCCGGCUAUGUCCUUCGGGCAAAAGCAGCCAGUUCUGCCCUUCGGGCAAUUGGUAAAAUUACUUAAAAAUAAAAGCAUUCUGCUUUUAAAAGUAAAAUACUUUCGUAAAAUACUUUUGACUAUCGAAAUCGGUAGGGGAGCGUUCCGCUCUAGGGUGAAGCAUGAACGGAAGUUCGUGUGGACGAAGCGGAAGUGAGAAUGUCGGCUUGAGUAACGCAAACAUUGGUGAGAAUCCAAUGCCCCGAAAACCUAAGGGUUCCUCCACUAGGUUCGUCCAUGGAGGGUGAGUCAGGACCUAAGGCGAGGCCGAAAGGCGUAGUCGAUGGAAAACAGGUUAAUAUUCCUGUACUCAAUCUUUUCUGGUACCGAGGGACGAAGCAGGUAAAAGUUAGCCGAUGUUGGAGUUCGGUGGAAACGUUCAAGGCUAUGAGAGGUAGAAAAAAAACUAUCCUUGAGCUAAGACGUGAUACGGUUUUAUUCCCUGUAUCUGAAGCUUGUCUUCAGGUUCAUAAUAAAACUUAACUUCUUAUCAUACUUCCUAGAAAAGCUCGAACUACUAAACAAAAAGAUUGACCUGUACCCGAAACCGACACAGGUAGGUGGGUAGAGUAUACCUAGGGGCGCGAGAUAACUCUCUCUAAGGAACUCGGCAAAAUGGCCCCGUAACUUCGGGAGAAGGGGUGCCGGAGUAAAACUCCGGUCGCAGUGACCAGGCCCAGGCGACUGUUUACCAAAAACACAGGUCUCCGCUAAGUCGUAAGACAAUAUAUGGGGGCUGACGCCUGCCCAGUGCCGGAAGGUGAAGGAAGUUGGUUAUUCUUCGGAAGAAGCUGACAACCGAAGCCCCGGUGAACGGCGGCCGUAACUAUAACGGUCCUAAGGUAGCGAAAUUCCUUGUCGGGUAAGUUCCGACCCGCACGAAAGGCGUAACGAUCUGGGCACUGUCUCGGAGAGAGACUCGGUGAAAUAGACAUGUCUGUGAAGAUGCGGACUACCUGCACCUGGACAGAAAGACCCUAUGAAGCUUGACUGUAGCCUGGAAUUGGGUUUGGGCUCUUCUUGCGCAGACUAGGUGGGAGGCGUUGAAAGUUCCUUUCCGGAGGAGCUUGAGCCAUCAGUGAGAGACCACUCUGGAAGAGCUAGAAUUCUAAUGGCGAUCCUUGAAUCAGGACGCUUGACAGUUUCAGGCGGGCAGUUUGACUGGGGCGGUCGCCUCCUAAAAGGUAACGGAGGCGUGCAAAGGUUCCCUCAGGCUGGACGGAAAUCAGCCGUAGAGUGUAAAGGCAGAAGGGAGCUUGACUGCAAGACUUACAAGUCGAGCAGGGGCGAAAGCCGGCCUUAGUGAUCCGACGGUACCGAGUGGAAGGGCCGUCGCUCAACGGAUAAAAGUUACUCUAGGGAUAACAGGCUGAUCUUCCCCAAGAGUUCACAUCGACGGGAAGGUUUGGCACCUCGAUGUCGGCUCAUCGCAACCUGGGGCGGUAGUACGUCCCAAGGGUUGGGCUGUUCGCCCAUGAAAGCGGUACGUGAGCUGGGUUCAGAACGUCGUGAGACAGUUUGGUCCAUAUCCGGUGUAGGCGAUAGAGUAUUGAGAGGAGCCUUCCAUAGUACGAGAGGACCUGGAAGGACGCACCAAUAGUAUACCAGUUCUUGUGCCAACAGGAAACGCUGGGUAGCCAAGUGCGGAGAGGAUAACUGCUGAAAGCAUCUAAGUAGGAAGCCCACCUCAAGAUGAGUGCUCUCUUAAGGUCACGGUAAGACAAGCCGUUUGAUAGGUGUUAAGUGGAAGGCCAGUAAUGGUUGGAGCUAAGACAUACUAAUAGACCGAUUGAUUUUGAC
This 3166-nucleotide ribosomal RNA is filed under the name Interfilum terricola. RNAcentral describes it as "LSU rRNA". It matches the Rfam family "Bacterial large subunit ribosomal RNA". The record is from RNAcentral. Lineage: Eukaryota; Viridiplantae; Streptophyta; Klebsormidiophyceae; Klebsormidiales; Klebsormidiaceae.